This 414-nucleotide ribosomal RNA is filed under the name uncultured Acetivibrio sp. Its description in RNAcentral is "bacterial SSU rRNA". It matches the Rfam family "Bacterial small subunit ribosomal RNA", at positions 355 to 784 of the family's 1533-position model. Lineage: Bacteria; Bacillati; Bacillota; Clostridia; Acetivibrionales; Acetivibrionaceae. The record is from RNAcentral.
UCGGGAAUAUUGCGCAAUGGAGGAAACUCUGACGCAGUGACGCCGCGUGCAGGAAGAAGGUUUUCGGAUUGUAAACUGCUUUAGACAGGGAAGAUACAAGACAGUACCUGUAGAAUAAGCUCCGGCUAACUACGUGCCAGCAGCCGCGGUAAUACGUAGGGAGCAAGCGUUAUCCGGAUUUAUUGGGUGUAAAGGGUGCGUAGACGGGAAAACAAGUUGGUUGUGAAAUCCCUCGGCUUAAACUGAGGAACUGCAACCAAAACUAUUUUUCUUGAGUGCUGGAGAGGAAAGUGGAAUUCCUAGUGUAGCGGUGAAAUGCUUAGAUAUUAGGAGGAACACCAGUGGCGAAGGCGGCUUACUGGACGGUAACUGACGUUGAGGCUCGAAAGCGUGGGGAGCAAACAGGAUUAGAUA